CUGGAAAAAGAAAAAGAUUCAAGGAAAAGCAUGCUACUAUUUAAAAAUUACCCACAAAAAUGAAAGAACAACAACAACAACAAUGAACCCAGUGUAUGCCGAUAAACGGGAUCUGGGGAGGAUAGUGUGCACAUACAUCUUACCCCUACCUUAUAAAGAUAUGGAGGCGGUUUUCGAUAAAUUCUCGGCACAAAAAUGAAAGAACUGAGGAUCAAUAUUAAGGAAAUUAACACUGAUAUUUUAAAUACUCACUGGGAUUCUUUGCUUCAAGUAAUUACCCAAUCUUGCUACAACAGUAGAACGUUUAUGCCAAAACUUGCCACUUAGUCUAAGCUUCACAUAAGGUCCAUCCACUUCAGCUAGUUCUGCUUUCCCUGUACAUUUUAUUUCACCUUUUUAGUGCAAAUAUAUUUCUUUCGUCUAAGCUUCACAUAAGGUCCAUCCACUCCUGCUAGUUCUGCUUUCCCUGUACAUUUCAUUUCAUUUUUUUAGUGCAAAUAAAAAUUAAAUUCCAUUAUUUUGCUCAAGGGAUUAAUGAAGCUAAUGAAUUUUUGCGAUAUCAGAGUUUAAAUUUCAACAGAGGUAAAAAAGCGUUGGAUGAUUUCUUUUUAUUUGUCUUAGCUCCCGUCUGGACAUAGGCCUUUUUUUUUACACUUUUAAAAAAAUAUUUUGAAUAACAUUAUUUGGUAACAAGUGACCAGUUUUUUCGACAGCUUUUGAAGAUAAAUUUUUUAAGUUUCAAAAAGUAGUUUAAAUCAGUUUUUGAAGUUUUCUACUUACAACUUUAACUUCUUUUUCGAAUAAAACAUAUAUUAAACACAAUUUCAACUUCCAAAAACAAUUCAUCUUAUCAUCAAAUUUUAUUUUUCAAGUUUCAACCAAAUGUAUAUCCAAAAGCUAAUUUAUUCAUGUACUAAUGAAAUGUAUUGGGUAUUUAUUGAAUAAUCGGGUACAUAUAAGAUAG
Molecule: long non-coding RNA, 964 nt
Filed under: Nicotiana benthamiana
Lineage: Eukaryota; Viridiplantae; Streptophyta; Magnoliopsida; Solanales; Solanaceae
Description: long non-coding RNA (NBEN_LNC038728)
Source: RNAcentral